GCAGAGGGUGCAAAAUAUUAAACCUUGGAAGCACUGCAGAAAAGGGUAAACUUGAAAACCCUGAAAAAUAGAGGCAAAAAUAAUUCUUAACUGCUCAUGGCAUUGGACUUGAUCAUGAAGAAGGGAAAUGACAAGCACUGGUGCUCCGAGACAGAAGCACAGGAUUCAGAUGUGUUUAUGCAGGAAGAUUUGCUCCUUGAGACCUCUGCCAUCACUGUCAGAAAAAGCUAUCCUCAGUAAUUGCUGUAUCGUCAGCCAGAUUCUGAGUCAACACAAGUAGUACAGACUGAAUCAAAUUCAAUAAGGAGCCAAGCCCAGCUAGAACCACACUUGAAGUAUUGCUCUCUAACUAAACACAGCUAGAUCAACUCAACCACAGAUAUAAACACAAAGGACUUACUCCAGUGAAGAUAAUCCUUGGCCCUUUAAAUAUUCAAGGUAGCCAAUAACUGUCUCUUGAGAGAAGUGGAGAAGAAUGAAAACCUCUCCCCAGGAAGUCCUCUUUCACGUCUGAUUUGCCAAGGGAGCUGUCCUGGAUGCACUCCUGCUUGGCUCUGUCUGCAGGAGCUGAACUGAAGGGGGGCGGGUAUGAUUCAGGGCUGCACUUGCUCCAAACUAAUUUAACCAAGAGAACUAUUUUUUUUUUUACUAUGAAGGGAAAAUAGCCUGAUAAUAAAAGUUAAAAACAAUGUACAGAAAUAUAUCUACACAAUGUGUAUUUGG
Molecule: non-coding RNA, 723 nt
Organism: Cricetulus griseus (Chinese hamster)
Lineage: Eukaryota; Metazoa; Chordata; Mammalia; Rodentia; Cricetidae
Source: RefSeq, a predicted model, not a curated record